Molecule: long non-coding RNA, 2864 nt
Organism: Aethalodelphis obliquidens (Pacific white-sided dolphin)
Lineage: Eukaryota; Metazoa; Chordata; Mammalia; Artiodactyla; Delphinidae
Exons: 2
Source: RefSeq, a predicted model, not a curated record
UUGGGCGUGGGUGGGUGAGGGGAGAGAGCUCAGGCCCCAGCCUCAGCCUCCAACUCCAGGGAACAGAGACCCUCCAGCCGCCUCCGCCUCUGGAUUCCCUUGCCUUGCUCCCCUCAGUGUCUCCGGCAGGGGGGCGUGACUGGGUGGGGAGGGAGGAGGAUGCCACUUGCGGGUGGCUUCUUGACAGGAACUGAAGAAACUCCAAGAAGAGAAACGGCAAUCUGAAAAAAGAACCCAGCCAUCUCGGGAGUCGCCGCGGGAGUCGCAGCCACCGCCGGCGCCAUCACGGUCGCCACCCGCGCAGCCGCAGCCUCCGCAGGUACCCGAGCGGCCGCCGCCGCCGCCGCCUCAGCCAAAGCCACAAAAUGCCCAGGACCCUCUUACUGAGCGCACCUCCCGGUACAUUCUCCAGGAUUCCCAAAGGCCAGGCGCCCACAAGGACAGAUUCCAAGGACGGGUGAUGAACCCUCAAGGUGCAGGUUUCGGGAAAUGUAGCCCAGAUACACACAUCAAGUACCCACGAUUCACGGUGAGACGGACUCAGAGUGUGAGCGGCAGCUACGGUUUGGCUGCGUGUCUGCCCGCGCUCGCGUGUUAGUGCAGGUGGAGUCUAGAAAGGCUUCCUCGGCGGGAAUCGGGAGAGGGGACUGAAGUUAUUCCGUCACUUCUGGAUGGCCCGUUCCUCCCCUCCACGCCCCCAUAAAGAUGUCUCUGUAGGCCCUGUUGCUCAGCACUCAGUAUAAGUGAAGGAGCUGACGAUCUAGUUGGAAAGAUAGGACGGGUGCCAGAGAAGCAAAAUCAAGGGGGCCGUUUGAAACGCGGAUGGGGUGGAGCCAGCUGCAGCGGGAGGACGGUGAGACGUGAAGUCAGGGCUUGUGGUCUCCGUCAGGAUCACCACUCUCCGGUAGCACGACUCAGAUCUCUGAGCCUCAGCUGCCCCACCCGUAAAAUGAGACUGAUAAUACCCCACCUCCUCCACAGAGGUGUCACGAGCACUGAAUUAAAAGGGAAAGCAUCCAAAGCACUUAGCUUACGGCCUGGCUCGUUGUAGACCGUCAAACCCAGGAAGACGCUUUUUUGAGAGUCUUGAGAAUUACAUGAAACAGGAUACGCUUUGGAAAGAAGCUUUUUUUUUUGUUUGUCUCUGACUCAGGCGCAAAGGAUGGGAGAACCUGAUCCCGGCCCUUUAAGACGAGGACUGGGCUGCUGCAUCAUCUCACUUUGAUUACUCGGGCUUCAGAGGCCUUAAGACAAUGUUCUCAAACCAGCAGGCCCGGGAGCUGCUAACUAACCUGUUCUGCCUCCUGUCUCUCCCUCUUCUCAGUCAACGAACUACAUCCAGCAGUGGUGAUUCAGAGACAGACCCCCGAGACCCCACUGGCCGGCCAUCAGCAAACAUCAGAUGAGCAGCCCCGUCUUCCUACCUCCCAGCAGCAUCUCCACUUCAAAAGCCAAGCCCUCCUGAUCCACUCUGGUAGGGGAGGCUAGCUGGGAAUCACGUGUGAUUUCUUCCUGCAAAGACUCAAGAGACUGGCUGGGCUCCGUGAGACAGAGGUGAGGGGGAGGGGCCAGGAAGACCCACGAAGAGGAUGGAGAGGGUGCGAGAAGACAGUGGAGGGCGAUUCCAUGCUUCUCCAGGCAAAGCCAACGGGAGAACUUGGCCUUGGGCCCCCCAGCUCUACAGCUCCACUACUGGCCCUUACUUAGCAGUGAUAUCACAGCCUGUUGGGGGCUCAGGUUUACGACUCUCGCUGGAGCCACCAGCCCUUCCUCCUGGCCGAUGCUUAUCGAGAUGCACCUGGGGAAGCGUGGGUGGCAUCACACCAGAGCAGACCUGGGACCUUGGGCAGCAUCAGGAAGAAGUGGCACGCAGGGCCCCCCCCAAGUCCAGUGUCGUGCCUGGUCCACGGUGGGCACUCCGCUGUUGAACGGAGGGUGGUUGGAAGGGAUGGAGAGAAAGAACUCGGAGGAAAGGAGGACUGUAGCCUCAGGCACAGGACACCUGACCUUGGGAAGAGGGGACUCGCCCCCCGCCCCCACCAAAUCCACAGGCCUCUUCCUCCCUGGGUCUCAGCCUUUCCACGUAGCAGAGACAACCCAGAGGCUCUGGAGGCCCCAGGCAGCCGCCUCACCUCUUCCUGAAACUGACACCUGGGGUCCCCCAGCCCUGCUCCCUCUGCCACUCUUGACUGGUGAGGGGGAUGCCUGGGUCCUUUCACUGUAGCGUCUCACCUUUGGGUGAGACUGAAGGAGCCUCUCUGCAGUGUUUCCUGAGAGGAGCAGUUGGGGGAAGCGAAGGAGCGGGGGGCGCACAGAACAGGAGCAUUAAAGUUGGGAGGGGCUCAGAGACACACAACGAGGGAAGGGGAGCGAGCGAGCUCCUGGGAGCGGUCUCCCAGAAGGCAGAGAGGCCGGGCGUGUUCUCGAGGGGCUCAGGGACUGGGGAAGAGACCUUGAUGCCCACUUGGAUAUUAAGAAACAGGCUGUGAGAUGGGGAGCGUCCACCGGCUCCCUUCCCACUCACAGGAGCCUUUUAUUUUCCUUCCUUAAACACGGUUAAGCACAGCUGAUUGACUCCAAUAUAAAUCCAUUACAUUUGGCGAACUCCACCCAGCGUGAGCUCCAGCCUGGCCCCCGUGGACUUCCGUGCUCUUACCAGCACCACCUCGACGCCAGUUACCCAGGCGUGAAAGCGUGCGGACAGCACGAACUCCUUCCUUCCCCUCAUCCCCCCGGCCGGCUCCUCAACAGGUUCUGGCCCCACGUGCCCUUCUCCGCCCUUCCUACUGCAACCUCAGCUUUCCCUGCUACUCAAGCUCACCUCUCUGCCUGUCUGAGUGACGGAAACCGGUAACCGCCUUUAG